AUGCUGGAUUGUCUGAGUCUUCUAAAGUUUAAUAGGAGCACGAGUCAUGCAACCCUGUGUGUGUCACGGUGGUUUUUAGAAAGGCACAAAAAGAUGACACUCAAGAUUUUUCUUAAAACCGAACUUUUUUCUCAGCCACAUGGAACACUUGUCUUCAGUGAUGGGAGAUGCCUAGGGCAACGUGUGUGUCUGGAGGGGCUGGACUGCUCCUGAGGCCGGCCCACCACUUCUUGGAUUUCAGAGCAGGAGUGGCAGGGAAGCGAGGGAGGACCGAGGCCCAAUCUCAGGACUCGUAAGAGCAGUGAUUGAGAGCGGGCACUCUAUUCCGACAAGUACCACAUUCAAAGUCCUUCUAAAAAUGGAUGAAGGUGAUGCUUCUUUGUAGAGACAGUGCUGUAUCCUGACCGCUCUGCACAAUAUCUGUCACAGAGUGGGAACUCAUCAAAUAAUUGUGG
Molecule: long non-coding RNA, 455 nt
Organism: Neofelis nebulosa (Clouded leopard)
Lineage: Eukaryota; Metazoa; Chordata; Mammalia; Carnivora; Felidae
Exons: 4
Source: RefSeq, a predicted model, not a curated record